Molecule: ribosomal RNA, 253 nt
Filed under: uncultured bacterium
Lineage: Bacteria
Description: partial 16S ribosomal RNA
Rfam family: Bacterial small subunit ribosomal RNA
Source: RNAcentral
UACGUAGGGUGCAAGCGUUGUCCGGAAUUAUUGGGCGUAAAGAGCUCGUAGGCGGUUUGUCGCGUCUGCUGUGAAAACUCGGGGCUUAACCCCGGGCCUGCAGUGGGUACGGGCAGACUAGAGUGCGGUAGGGGAGACUGGAAUUCCUGGUGUAGCGGUGAAAUGCGCAGAUAUCAGGAGGAACACCGGUGGCGAAGGCGGUUCUCUGGGAAUAUCCUGACGCUGAGGAGCGAAAGUGUGGGGAGCGAACAGG